This 76-nucleotide transfer RNA is filed under the name Dehalogenimonas etheniformans. Its description in RNAcentral is "Dehalogenimonas sp. GP tRNA-Thr". It matches the Rfam family "tRNA". Rfam says of the family: Transfer RNA (tRNA) molecules are approximately 80 nucleotides in length. RNAcentral also lists the same sequence under 1 other name. The record is from RNAcentral. Lineage: Bacteria; Bacillati; Chloroflexota; Dehalococcoidia; Dehalococcoidales; Dehalococcoidaceae.
GCCAGCGUAGCUCAGUCGGUAGAGCAGCUGUUUCGUAAACAGCAGGUCGGAGGUUCGAGCCCUCUCGCUGGCUCCA